AAAACAUGCGUAAUUGGAGAUGUGGCUGCGGAAUGGUAUUGACGGUGGUGAUCUUUUGUAUGGACACGUAUAGGUGGAUGCACGCGUCAAUCGGCACACAGCAUCGCUCAUCUGCCGCCGUUUUGGAAAAUGGUUUUGACAGCAAAAGUCAACGUGGCUUGCUCGGUUGCCACAUGCGGAAAUCACGUGCCAUCCAACUCUAU
This 203-nucleotide long non-coding RNA is filed under the name Vitis vinifera (wine grape). Its description in RNAcentral is "long non-coding RNA (VVIN_LNC004431)". Lineage: Eukaryota; Viridiplantae; Streptophyta; Magnoliopsida; Vitales; Vitaceae. The record is from RNAcentral.